RNAcentral lists this ribosomal RNA (253 nucleotides) under uncultured bacterium. Its description in RNAcentral is "partial 16S ribosomal RNA". It matches the Rfam family "Bacterial small subunit ribosomal RNA", at positions 524 to 776 of the family's 1533-position model. The record is from RNAcentral.
UACGUAGGGGGCAAGCGUUGUCCGGAAUCAUUGGGCGUAGAGCGCGUGUAGGCGGCUUGGUAAGUCCGCUCUGAAAGCCCGGGGCUCAACCCCGGGAGGCGGGUGGAUACUGUCAAGCUUGAGUCCGGAAGAGGCGAGUGGAAUUCCCGGUGUAGCGGUGAAAUGCGCAGAUAUCAGGAGGAACACCGGUGGCGAAGGCGGGAUCCUGGGCCAGUACUGACGCUGAGGAGCGAAAGCGUGGGGAGCAAACAGG